Molecule: ribosomal RNA, 293 nt
Filed under: uncultured bacterium
Lineage: Bacteria
Description: partial 16S ribosomal RNA
Rfam family: Bacterial small subunit ribosomal RNA
Source: RNAcentral
GGAUUAGAUACCCUGGUAGUCCACGCCGUAAACGAUGUCUACUAGCUGUUCGUGACCUUGUGUCGUGAGUAGCGCAGCUAACGCACUAAGUAGACCGCCUGGGGAGUACGGUCGCAAGAUUAAAACUCAAAUGAAUUGACGGGGGCCCGCACAAGCGGUGGAGCAUGUGGUUUAAUUCGACGCAACGCGAAGAACCUUACCUACUCUUGACAUCCAGAGAAGACUGCAGAGAUGCGGUUGUGCCUUCGGGAACUCUGAGACAGGUGCUGCAUGGCUGUCGUCAGCUCGUGCCG